UACGUAGGGUGCGAGCGUUGUCCGGAAUUAUUGGGCGUAAAGAGCUCGUAGGCGGUUUGUUGCGUCGGCCGUGAAAACCUGCAGCUUAACUGUGGGCCUGCGGCCGAUACGGGCAGACUUGAGUUCGGUAGGGGAGACUGGAAUUCCUGGUGUAGCGGUGGAAUGCGCAGAUAUCAGGAGGAACACCGGUGGCGAAGGCGGCCACCUGGACGGUAACUGACGCUGAGACGCGAAAGCGUGGGGAGCAAACAGG
RNAcentral lists this ribosomal RNA (253 nucleotides) under uncultured bacterium. RNAcentral describes it as "partial 16S ribosomal RNA". It matches the Rfam family "Bacterial small subunit ribosomal RNA", at positions 524 to 776 of the family's 1533-position model. The record is from RNAcentral.